UACGUAGGGUGCGAGCGUUAAUCGGAAUUACUGGGCGUAAAGGGUGCGCAGGCGGUUAUAUAAGACAGAUGUGAAAUCCCCGGGCUCAACCUGGGAACUGCGUUUGUGACUGUAUGACUAGAGUCCGGAAGAGGAGAGUGGAAUUCCUGGUGUAGCGGUGAAAUGCGCAGAUAUCAGGAAGAACACCCGUGGCUAAGGCGGCUCUCUAGUACGGUACUGACGCUGAGACGCGAAAGCGUGGGGAGCGAACAGG
RNAcentral lists this ribosomal RNA (253 nucleotides) under uncultured bacterium. Its description in RNAcentral is "partial 16S ribosomal RNA". It matches the Rfam family "Bacterial small subunit ribosomal RNA", at positions 524 to 776 of the family's 1533-position model. The record is from RNAcentral.